GACGAACGCUGGCGGCGUGCCUAAUACAUGCAAGUAGAACGCUGAAGGAGGGGAUUUCUUCUCCGGAUGAGUGGCGAACGGGUGAGUAACGCGUAUGUAACCUGCCUGGUAGCGGGGGAGAACUAUUGGAAACGAUAGCUAAUACCGCAUAAGAGCAGAUGUCGCAUGACAUUUGCUUAAAAGGUGCAACUGCACCACUACCAGAUGGACCUGCGUUGUAUUAGCUAGUUGGGGAGGUAACGGCUCACCAAGGCAACGAUACAUAGCCGACCUGGGAGGGGGGUCGGCCAAACUGGGACUGGGACACGGGCCAGAACCCUAACGGAGGCAGCAGUAGGGGAACUUCGGACAUGGACGGAAGGCUGGACGAGGAACGCCGGGUGAGUGAAGGAAGUUUUCGGGUCGGUAAAGUCCGUUGUGCGGGGAGAAAGAGAGUGAGAGUGAAAAGUUCACACUGUGACGGUAUCUGACCAGAAAGCGACGGCUAACUACGUG
This 495-nucleotide ribosomal RNA is filed under the name uncultured bacterium. RNAcentral's name for it is "partial 16S ribosomal RNA". It matches the Rfam family "Bacterial small subunit ribosomal RNA", at positions 28 to 507 of the family's 1533-position model. The record is from RNAcentral.